This 429-nucleotide ribosomal RNA is filed under the name uncultured bacterium. RNAcentral describes it as "bacterial SSU rRNA". It matches the Rfam family "Bacterial small subunit ribosomal RNA", at positions 355 to 776 of the family's 1533-position model. The record is from RNAcentral.
UGGGGAAUAUUGGACAAUGGGGGCAACCCUGAUCCAGCAAUGCCGCGUGUGUGAAGAAGGCCUUCGGGUUGUAAAGCACUUUUGUUAGGGAGGAAGACGAGUAGUUUAAGAGAUGAUUCGUUUGACUGUACCUAAAGAAUAAGCACCGGCUAACUCUGUGCCAGCAGCCGCGGUAAUACAGAGGGUGCGAGCGUUAAUCGGAAUUACUGGGCGUAAAGGGCGCGUAGGCGGUUUAUUAAGUUGUAUGUGAAAUCCCUGGGCUUAACCUAGGAACUGCAUAUAAUACUGAUAAGCUGGAGUGCAGUAGAGGGUAGUGGAAUUUCCGGUGUAGCGGUGAAAUGCGUAGAUAUCGGAAGGAACACCAGUGGCGAAGGCGGCUACCUGGACUGACACUGACGCUGAGGCGCGAAAGCGUGGGGAGCAAACAGG